This is a non-coding RNA of Microcebus murinus (gray mouse lemur), 959 nucleotides long. The record is from RefSeq and is a predicted model, not a curated record. Lineage: Eukaryota; Metazoa; Chordata; Mammalia; Primates; Cheirogaleidae.
CGCCCUGGUUGUGCGCCAUGGUGAAGAAGCGGAGGGCACCAGCCACGACGAGGACCUAGACCUGAGGCGCGUGAGUUGUGGCCGGUGGUGAGGAAGCGGAAGGGCUCCAGCGGCAUCGAGGACUUACACCCGGAUGACACAGCAAGAAGGCCAUCACCAGAGGCUGAGCAAAUGUCAGUGUCAUGUUCUUGGACUUCCCAGCCUUCAGAACCAUGAAGAAUUCAAAAUAACUAUCACAGGGAUGCUCACUGAAGUCAAGAGCAAUGGAUGAACAAAAUGAGAACUUCAACAAAGAAAUAGAAAAUACUAAAAAGUACCAAGCAAAAAUCACUAGGCUAAGAACAUAGUAACUAAACCAAAAAAUUCAUUAUAUUGGUUCAGCUGCAGACUAUAUCAAACAGAAGGGAUCUGCAAACUUGAAGACAAGUGAAUGGAAAUAAUUCAGAAGAGCCAAAAGAAAAAGGAAUGAAAAGAGUAAACAAAGCUUAAGGAAUUUAUGGUAUACCAUCAAGUGAACUAAUUGAUGUAUUAUAAGAAUUGCAGAAAGAGAGAAAGGACCAGAAAGCUUAUUCAAAGAAACAACACUGAAAAAUUCCCAAAUCUGAGGAAGGAAACAGACAUCCAGACUGAAGAAGCCCAAAGGACACCACAAAAGGUGAACUCAAAGAAAUGCACAGUGAGACACAUUAUAGUCAAAUUGGUCAGAAUCAAAGACAGCAAGAAUUUUGAAAGCAGCAAGAGAAAAGUGACUUGUUACAUACAUAUAAGGGAACAUCCAUAAAACUAUGAAUGGAUUUUUCACCAUAAACUUUAUAGGCUAGAAUGCAGUGAGAUGAUGCUCUCAAGUGCUGAAAGAAAAUAACUGCUGAACAGAAGUAUUAUACUCAGAAAAACUGUCCUUCAAAAAUUAAGGAUACAGGCCGGGCAUGGUGGCUCACGCCUAUAAUCCUAGCACUCUG